This 253-nucleotide ribosomal RNA is filed under the name uncultured bacterium. RNAcentral describes it as "partial 16S ribosomal RNA". It matches the Rfam family "Bacterial small subunit ribosomal RNA", at positions 524 to 776 of the family's 1533-position model. The record is from RNAcentral.
GACGAACCGAGCGAACGUUGUUCGGAAUCACUGGGCUUAAAGGGCGCGUAGGCGGGCUGCCAAGUUUGGGGUGAAAUCCUCCGGCUCAACCGGGGAAGGGCCUCGAAUACUGGCGGUCUGGAGGGAGGUAGGGGCGUGCGGAACUGUGGGUGGAGCGGUGAAAUGCGUUGAUAUCCACAGGAACUCCGGUGGCGAAGGCGGCACGCUGGACCUUUUCUGACGCUGAGGCGCGAAAGCCAGGGGAGCGAACGGG